This 598-nucleotide ribosomal RNA is filed under the name Nocardia sp. I08A-00433. RNAcentral's name for it is "bacterial SSU rRNA". It matches the Rfam family "Bacterial small subunit ribosomal RNA", at positions 56 to 672 of the family's 1533-position model. Lineage: Bacteria; Bacillati; Actinomycetota; Actinomycetes; Mycobacteriales; Nocardiaceae. The record is from RNAcentral.
UGCAGUCGAGCGGUAAGGCCCUUCGGGGUACACGAGCGGCGAACGGGUGAGUAACACGUGGGUGAUCUGCCUCGCACUCUGGGAUAAGCCUGGGAAACUGGGUCUAAUACCGGAUAUGAACAUGGUCUGCAUGGACUGUGUUGGAAAGGUUUACUGGUGCGAGAUGGGCCCGCGGCCUAUCAGCUUGUUGGUGGGGUAACGGCCUACCAAGGCGACGACGGGUAGCCGACCUGAGAGGGUGACCGGCCACACUGGGACUGAGACACGGCCCAGACUCCUACGGGAGGCAGCAGUGGGGAAUAUUGCACAAUGGGCGAAAGCCUGAUGCAGCGACGCCGCGUGGGGGAUGACGGCCUUCGGGUUGUAAACCCCUUUCGACAGGGACGAAGCGCAAGUGACGGUACCUGUAGAAGAAGCACCGGCCAACUACGUGCCAGCAGCCGCGGUAAUACGUAGGGUGCGAGCGUUGUCCGGAAUUACUGGGCGUAAAGAGCUUGUAGGCGGUCUGUCACGUCGAUUGUGAAAACUUGGGGCUCAACUCCAAGCUUGCAGUCGAUACGGGCAGACUAGAGUACUUCAGGGGAGACUGGAAUUCCUG